UUUUUUGUGAUUGACCAAGAUCUAGCUUUUCUAUUAUUAUUUUGGUAUUAUCCAACAGUUUUUUUCUUAGUCUCUUUCCUUGGCCUUUUUCUUUUUGAAGUUUGUCAUUUUGCUUUUGCUUCAUAUUGUCCUUGCAUAUAAAAUCAACAUGGUGUAUUGGGAUAAUGAAUAUGAUGGAUGGACAAACCUACCAGCUCAUGUUGUUAGAUGACGACUUUAGGUAACUUAUUUGAAGUAUUAAAAUAUUUUAGUCACUUUGUAGUGUAAAAAAGAGAUUUUGUUAAAAAAAAAGUAAUUCAUGUUGAAAUUUGUUUUGUAAAAUGAAUUAUAUUGGCUUUGACAAGUUGAUGACAGGAAUGAAAGCUAAUGGAAAAAUUGGACAUGUAGAGAAUAAUAUAUCAGCUUAAAGAAUCUACUCAA
Molecule: long non-coding RNA, 420 nt
Filed under: Lactuca sativa (garden lettuce)
Lineage: Eukaryota; Viridiplantae; Streptophyta; Magnoliopsida; Asterales; Asteraceae
Description: long non-coding RNA (LSAT_LNC006538)
Source: RNAcentral